CCCCUAGAUGUUCUGGGCCGCACGCGCGCUACACUGAACAGUUCAACAAGUCUUAACCUUGGCCGAUAGGUCUGGGUAAUCUUUGAACGCUGUUCGUGAUUGGGAUAGACCUUUGCAAUUAUGGGUCUUCAACGAGGAAUUCCUAGUAAACGCAAGUCAUCAGCUUGCAUUGAUUACGUCCCUCCCCUUUGUACACACCGCCCGUCGCACCUACCGAUUGAAUGGUCCGGUGAAAUCUCGGGACGGCGGCUUGGUCGCUUGCGUCCGACUGCUGAAACUUGAUUAAACCAUAUCAUUUAGAGGAAGGUGAAGUCGUAACA
Molecule: ribosomal RNA, 320 nt
Filed under: uncultured eukaryote
Lineage: Eukaryota
Description: partial 18S ribosomal RNA
Rfam family: Eukaryotic small subunit ribosomal RNA
Source: RNAcentral